CACAUGCAGUCGAACGGAGAUCAUUUGGUAGAAGUUUUCGGAUGGACACCGAGUGAUCUUAGUGGCGAACGGGUGAGUAACGCGUGAGCAAUCUGCCUCAGAGUGGGGGACAACAGUUGGAAACGACUGCUAAUACCGCAUAAGCCCACAGUACCGCAUGGUACAGGGGGAAAAGAUUUAUUGCUUUGAGAUGAGCUCACGUCCAAUUAGCUAGUUGGUGAGGUAACGGCCCACCAAGGCGACGAUUGGUAGCCGGACUGAGAGGUUGAACGGCCACAUUGGGACUGAGAUACGGCCCAGACUCCUACGGGAGGCAGCAGUGGGGAAUAUUGCACAAUGGGGGGAACCCUGGUGCAGCGACGCCGCGUGGAGGAAGAAGGUCUUCGGAUUGUAAACUCCUGUUGUUAGGGACGAUAAUGACGGUACCUAACAAGGAAGCACCGGCUAACUACGUGCCAGCAGCCGCGGUAAAACGUAGGGUGCAAGCGUUGUCCGGAAUUACUGGGUGUAAAGGGAGCGCAGGCGGGCAUGCAAGUUGGAAGUGAAAACUAUGGGCUCAACCCAUAGCCUGCUUUCAAAACUGCGUGUCUUGAGUAGUGCAGAGGUAGGCGGAAUUCCCGGUGUAGCGGUGGAAUGCGUAGAUAUCGGGAGGAACACCAGUGGCGAAGGCGGCCUACUGGGCACCAACUGACGCUGAGGCUCGAAAGCAUGGGUAGCAAACAGGAUUAGAUACCCUGGUAGUCCAUGCCGUAAACGAUGAUUACUAGGUGUUG
RNAcentral lists this ribosomal RNA (773 nucleotides) under uncultured bacterium. RNAcentral describes it as "bacterial SSU rRNA". It matches the Rfam family "Bacterial small subunit ribosomal RNA", at positions 52 to 825 of the family's 1533-position model. The record is from RNAcentral.